GGCGAACGGGUGAGUAACACGUGGGUGAUCUGCCCUGCACUCUGGGAUAAGCCUGGGAAACUGGGUCUAAUACCGGAUAGGACCACACACUUCAUGGUGAGUGGUGCAAAGCUUUUGCGGUGUGGGAUGAGCCCGCGGCCUAUCAGCUUGUUGGUGGGGUAAUGGCCCACCAAGGCGACGACGGGUAGCCGGCCUGAGAGGGUGACCGGCCACACUGGGACUGAGAUACGGCCCAGACUCCUACGGGAGGCAGCAGUGGGGAAUAUUGCACAAUGGGCGCAAGCCUGAUGCAGCGACGCCGCGUGAGGGAUGACGGCCUUCGGGUUGUAAACCUCUUUCAGUAGGGACGAAGCGAAAGUGACGGUACCUACAGAAGAAGGACCGGCCAACUACGUGCCAGCAGCCGCGGUAAUACGUAGGGUCCGAGCGUUGUCCGGAAUUACUGGGCGUAAAGAGCUCGUAGGUGGUUUGUCGCGUUGUUCGUGAAAACUCACAGCUUAACUGUGGGCGUGCGGGCGAUACGGGCAGACUAGAGUACUGCAGGGGAGACUGGAAUUCCUGGUGUAGCGGUGGAAUGCGCAGAUAUCAGGAGGAACACCGGUGGCGAAGGCGGGUCUCUGGGCAGUAACUGACGCUGAGGA
This 641-nucleotide ribosomal RNA is filed under the name Mycobacterium sp. I13A-01623. Its description in RNAcentral is "bacterial SSU rRNA". It matches the Rfam family "Bacterial small subunit ribosomal RNA", at positions 97 to 752 of the family's 1533-position model. The record is from RNAcentral. Lineage: Bacteria; Bacillati; Actinomycetota; Actinomycetes; Mycobacteriales; Mycobacteriaceae.